Molecule: long non-coding RNA, 617 nt
Organism: Canis lupus familiaris (dog)
Lineage: Eukaryota; Metazoa; Chordata; Mammalia; Carnivora; Canidae
Exons: 3
Source: RefSeq, a predicted model, not a curated record
UAGGAGUUAGUUGGUCUUCACAAGUUGCUGAGCCACAAAGGAACUGGAAAUCACUGAAAUCGAAGAACACUAAUCAGAGUGGUUCUACAUAGGAUGCCACUGAUCCCUAAACUCUCACCAGUCAGCCAUCUGGGGCCGUCCUAAGGAGCAAACCAGAAGAUGGCCUGAAAGCACCCAGGGCUACGGCAGGCGAAUAGCGGCACAGAGAAAAGGGGCUUCUCUUGCCCUUCACCACCUGACCUGGAGCACAGCAAGCACAGUGUCGAUUUUCUUCCUAGUCUCAUGGUUUGUGUUCAGACACCUGAUGAUGGCCCAGCAGCUAAACGUGGGAUCUCUCAGGUGUGGUUGGCUAUUCUCAUGCUCUCCUCAUGAGAGGUUGGCCUCUUCUCAUGAUUCUAGGAGGUAACGAAUAGAUUCAUAGGAACAGGAGGCUCAUCUGUGUGUGAACAAGCAAACCCAGUACAGAGCUAUGACCGUCACUCCCCACGCUCCGACCAAACACCCUGGCUUCCCGUGGAGGGAGAUGCUGGCGUGGAAACUCCAAGUACAACCACCGCACUAAAACCGAGCUUCAGGAACUUAAGAGUCUCAGCGGAGUCUGCAGCUGAUAGACGUAC